GACGAACGCUGGCGGCGUGCUUAACACAUGCAAGUCGAACGGAAAGGCCUCUUUCGGGGUGUUCUCGCGUGACGAACGGGCGGGUAACACGUGAGUAACCUACCCUUGUCUUUGGGAUAACUUACGGCAACUAGGGCUAAUACCGACUAGGAGAUCCUGCUACAUGGAGGGGGCUGGAGAGUUUCGGCGGUUGGGGGUGGCCUGGCGGCUUAUCAGCUUGUUGGUGGCGUAGUGGCUUACCAAGGCUUUGACGGGUAGCCGGCCUGAGAGGGUGAGCGGCGACAUUGGGACUGAGAUACGGCCCAGACUGCUACGGUAGGCAGCAGUGGGGAAGAUUGCACGAGGGGUGGAAGGCUGAUGCAGAAAGGCCGUGUGCGGGAUGACGGUGUUCGGGUUGUAAACCGCUUUCGUACAUGACGAAGCUCUGUGUGACGGUAGUGGGUAAAGAAGCACCGGCUAACUACGUG
RNAcentral lists this ribosomal RNA (467 nucleotides) under uncultured bacterium. Its description in RNAcentral is "partial 16S ribosomal RNA". It matches the Rfam family "Bacterial small subunit ribosomal RNA", at positions 28 to 507 of the family's 1533-position model. The record is from RNAcentral.